Long non-coding RNA from Rana temporaria (common frog), 289 nucleotides. RefSeq lists it as uncharacterized. The transcript has 3 exons. The record is from RefSeq and is a predicted model, not a curated record. Lineage: Eukaryota; Metazoa; Chordata; Amphibia; Anura; Ranidae.
UCCACACAGGAAGGUCACACCAUCCCCCACCAUCAUCAGAGUGGAAACCUCGGGGAUGAUAAUAUUGUUGUUAAGGAAGAGUAUAUAGAGGAGGAUGCGGAGUAUGGAGUGAUGGAGGAGUAUUCAGAAGGACACAAGGAUGUCACAAUGGAGCCACCUAAUAGCAGAAACCCACCAGAGAGAUGUCCCCGUCCUCUGUAUUUCCAGGAUUCCACACAAGAAGAUCUCAAAUAUGGAAAACCUGAUCAGAGUGGAAACCUGAGAGAUCCUAAAGUUGAGAUAAAAGAGG